This 739-nucleotide ribosomal RNA is filed under the name Vibrio parahaemolyticus. RNAcentral's name for it is "partial 23S ribosomal RNA". It matches the Rfam family "Bacterial large subunit ribosomal RNA", at positions 2041 to 2779 of the family's 2925-position model. The record is from RNAcentral. Lineage: Bacteria; Pseudomonadati; Pseudomonadota; Gammaproteobacteria; Vibrionales; Vibrionaceae.
AUUGAAAUCGCUGUGAAGAUGCAGUGUACCCGCGGCUAGACGGAAAGACCCCGUGAACCUUUACUACAGCUUGGCACUGAACAUUGACCCUACAUGUGUAGGAUAGGUGGGAGGCUUUGAAGCAAGUACGCCAGUAUUUGUGGAGCCGUCCUUGAAAUACCACCCUUGUAGUGUUGAUGUUCUAACGUCGACCCCUUAUCGGGGUUGCGGACAGUGCCUGGUGGGUAGUUUGACUGGGGCGGUCUCCUCCCAAAGAGUAACGGAGGAGCACGAAGGUGGGCUAAUCACGGUUGGACAUCGUGAGGUUAGUGCAAUGGCAUAAGCCCGCUUGACUGCGAGAAUGACAAUUCGAGCAGGUGCGAAAGCAGGUCAUAGUGAUCCGGUGGUUCUGAAUGGAAGGGCCAUCGCUCAACGGAUAAAAGGUACUCCGGGGAUAACAGGCUGAUACCGCCCAAGAGUUCAUAUCGACGGCGGUGUUUGGCACCUCGAUGUCGGCUCAUCACAUCCUGGGGCUGAAGUCGGUCCCAAGGGUAUGGCUGUUCGCCAUUUAAAGUGGUACGCGAGCUGGGUUUAGAACGUCGUGAGACAGUUCGGUCCCUAUCUGCCGUGGGCGUUGGAAGAUUGAAGGGGGCUGCUCCUAGUACGAGAGGACCGGAGUGGACGAACCUCUGGUGUUCGGGUUGUGUCGCCAGACGCAUUGCCCGGUAGCUAAGUUCGGAAUCGAUAACCGCUGAAAGCA